Molecule: unclassified non-coding RNA, 1418 nt
Filed under: uncultured Neocallimastigales
Lineage: Eukaryota; Fungi; Neocallimastigomycota; Neocallimastigomycetes; Neocallimastigales
Description: partial contains small subunit ribosomal RNA, internal transcribed spacer 1, 5.8S ribosomal RNA, internal transcribed spacer 2, and large subunit ribosomal RNA
Rfam family: Eukaryotic large subunit ribosomal RNA (bases 637-1418)
Source: RNAcentral
UGGAAGUAAAAGUCGUAACAAGGUUUCCGUAGGUGAACCCGCGGAAGGAUCAUUAAUAAAUUUUUUUUUUGAAAUAAAAAAAAAAUAAUAAUCAUCCUACCCUUUGUGAAUUUGUUUUGUUGAAUAAUUUUUUAAAAUUAUUUAUUGUCUAUCCAAGUUGGAAAGUUGAAAAGACUUGAAGACUUGGAGCGGCAUAAAUAAAUUUAAAGACUUUUUUCUAAAAUUAAACUUUUUGUAUCAUUUGUCUAAAAUAAUUUUUAUAAUAUAUAAAAACAACUUUUGACAAUGGAUCUCUUGGUUCUCGCAACGAUGAAGAACGCAGCAAAAUGCGAUAAGUAAUGUGAAUUGCAGAAUACGUGAAUCAUCGAAUCUUCGAACGCAUAUUGCACUUUUUUAGUUUACUAAAAAAGUAUGUCUGUUUGAGUAUCAGUAAAAUAUUCUCAUAAAAUUUUUAAUUUUAUGGUUAUGAGUGUUUUACAACGAUAAACAAGUUGUUUCACUUUAAAUUGAAUUUUUUGAAGAAAUUCUUUAUUUCAAAUUAAAUUUGGAUAAAAUUUUCCCGUAAAGAGGAAUAACUAUACAAGUUUAAUAAGAAUUUAGGAUUUCUUUUAUGAAAAGGAAAUUUAUUAAAUAACUUGAUCUCAAAUCAGAUAAGAGUACCCGCUGAACUUAAGCAUAUCAAUAAGCGGAGGAAAAGAAACUAACAAGGAUUCCCCUAGUAACGGCGAGUGAAGCGGGAAGAGCUCAAAUUUGAAAUCUUAAAGGGUUUCCCUUUACGAAUUGUAGUUUAAAGAAGUGUUUUCUGUUGAGGUUUUGGUAAAAGUUCUUUGGAAUAGGACAUCAUAGAGGGUGAGAAUCCCGUAUUUGACCUUUACUUUCAACUUUGUGAUACACUUUCAAAGAGUCGGAUUGUUUGGGAAUGCAGUCCAAAAUGGGUGGUAAAUUUCAUCUAAAGCUAAAUAUUGGCGAGAGACCGAUAGCGAACAAGUACCGUGAGGGAAAGAUGAAAAGAACUUUGAAAAGAGAGUUAAACAGUACGUGAAAUCGUCAAAAGGGAAGCGUUUGACACCAGUGUUGUUUUUCUGAAAAUCAAUUAAAGAACUGUUUAUGCUAAGUUGUUUAGACUUUAUCAGCUAACUGUUUAGUUUUGAGCUUUUCUUUAAUGCACUUUUCAGUUAACAAGUCAACAUCAAUUUCUUUUGCUGUAAAAAAAGCUUGAGGAAGGUGGCUUGAGAUUCGUCUUAAGUGUUUAUAGCCUCUUGCCUAUGCAGUCGGAGAGAUUGAGGUCUGCAGCGUAGAUCCUUCGGGGCUAAAUGCAUUUGUGCUAAGUUAUAGCAUUUUAUAGACAACUUGUUGACUAUGAUUUGUCUUGUAGCCUACUCGCUUAUGUUAUUUUACCUACGCUUAGGAUGUUGAAA